This 254-nucleotide ribosomal RNA is filed under the name uncultured bacterium. Its description in RNAcentral is "partial 16S ribosomal RNA". It matches the Rfam family "Bacterial small subunit ribosomal RNA", at positions 524 to 776 of the family's 1533-position model. The record is from RNAcentral.
UACGGGGGGAGCAAGCGUUGUUCGGAUUUACUGGGCGUAAAGGGCGCGUAGGCGGCCACCGCAAGUCGGUUGUGAAAUCUCUGGGCUUAACCCAGAAAGGUCAACCGAUACUGCGGGGCUAGAGUGCAGAAGGGGCAACCGGAAUUCCCAGUGUAGCGGUGAAAUGCGUAGAUAUUGGGAAGAACACCUGAGGCGAAGGCGGGUUGCUGGGCUGAUACUGACGCUGAGGCGCGAAAGCCAGGGGAGCAAACGGG